UACGGAGGAUGCGAGCGUUAUCCGGAUUUAUUGGGUUUAAAGGGUGCGUAGGCGGGAUGCCAAGUCAGCGGUAAAAAUGCGGUGCUCAACGCCGUCGAGCCGUUGAAACUGGCGUUCUUGAGUGGGCGCGAAGUAUGCGGAAUGCGUGGUGUAGCGGUGAAAUGCAUAGAUAUCACGCAGAACUCCGAUUGCGAAGGCAGCAUACCGGCGCCCUACUGACGCUGAGGCACGAAAGCGUAGGUAUCGAACAGG
RNAcentral lists this ribosomal RNA (252 nucleotides) under uncultured bacterium. Its description in RNAcentral is "partial 16S ribosomal RNA". It matches the Rfam family "Bacterial small subunit ribosomal RNA", at positions 524 to 776 of the family's 1533-position model. The record is from RNAcentral.